UGUAUGUGUGUAUGUAUGUAUGCAUGUAUGUAUGUAUGUAUGUAUGUAUGUAUGUAUGUAUGUAUGUAUGUAUGUAUGUAUGUAUGUAUGCAUGCAUGCAUGCAUUCACAUAUGUGCAUGUCUAUCAGCGCACGUUUAUGUGUGUGCGUGUGCACGUAUGUAUAUGUGUGUGUGGGUACACACGUGUUAGUAUACAAGUGUGUGUGUUCACAUAUGCGCAUGUCUAUCAGCGUAUGUAUGCUUGUGUGUGUGUGUGUGUGUGUGUGUGUGGGUCUUGCAUGGAAGGUGAGAGACACUCAAACCUCUGCUCCUAGAGACGAGGGAACCUAUCAGACUGCUCCGAUCCUCGGCAGGCCAGGAUACUGCGGGCCGUAUCCCGACCCUGCAGUCACCCCCCCCCCCCCCC
Long non-coding RNA from Gadus macrocephalus (Pacific cod), 406 nucleotides. RefSeq lists it as uncharacterized. The record is from RefSeq and is a predicted model, not a curated record. The transcript has 2 exons. Lineage: Eukaryota; Metazoa; Chordata; Actinopteri; Gadiformes; Gadidae.